Molecule: ribosomal RNA, 464 nt
Filed under: Micrococcus luteus
Lineage: Bacteria; Bacillati; Actinomycetota; Actinomycetes; Micrococcales; Micrococcaceae
Description: bacterial SSU rRNA
Source: RNAcentral
GGAUGAACGCUGGCGGCGUGCUUAACACAUGCAAGUCGAACGAUGAAGCYCAGCUUGCUGGGUGGAUUAGUGGCGAACGGGUGAGUAACACGUGAGUAACCUGCCCUUAACUCUGGGAUAAGCCUGGGAAACURGGUCUAAUACCGGAUAGGAGCGYCYACCGCAUGGUGGGUGUUGGAAAGAUUUAUCGGUUUUGGAUGGACUCGCGGCCUAUCAGCUUGUUGGUGAGGUAAUGGCUCACCAAGGCGACGACGGGUAGCCGGCCUGAGAGGGUGACCGGCCACACUGGGACUGAGACACGGCCCAGACUCCUACGGGAGGCAGCAGUGGGGAAUAUUGCACAAUGGGCGMAAGCCUGAUGCAGCGACGCCGCGUGAGGGAUGACGGCCUUCGGGUUGUAAACCUCUUUCAGUAGGGAAGAAGCGAAAGUGACGGUACCUGCAGAAGAAGCACCGGCUAACUAC